UAGCUGUCAACCCAAAAACCAGAUGUUAAUGAGGGGCAACUUCUCAUCUAUGACCUAUGAGUUUUGAAUAAUUGCAACUAGAAUUUGCACCAACUAGCAGAACUUUGUCAAGUGGAAAUAACACUUGAUGGUUAUGUGAAAAGGCAAAGGACAUAACACCUCAAUCAACAAAUGAGAAAAAGAUAGGAAGUAUGUAACAACUCGUCAGCAAGAUUCGCCGUCUCGGUACCGGAUCCCAUAUUGUUACAUCCUAUUACAAUAUCGGUAUGCAGUACGGUACAAAACAGCCAAGCAUAUCAAGUAUCAGUACGGUACAAAACUAUAAUAUUGGUAAGGUACUAAUAUGGUACAGUAUGUUUGGUACAGUACGGUGCCGACCGGUACAGCAAAUCUUGCUGUUCACCACUCCUAUUAGAAUUUGUCUCAAGGGCAUAAGGUUUAGGAUAUGGUUUCUGUGUGUGUGUGUGUGUGUGUGUGUGAGAGAGAGAGAGAGAGAGAGAGAGAGUAAUAUNNNNNNNNNNNNNNNNNNNNUGUGUGUGUGUGUGUGUGUGUGUGAGAGAGAGAGAGAGAGAGAGAGAGAGUAAUAUUACCAGUCUCUCCCGAAUUAAAUUCUAAGGCAGGUUACGGUUAAGCAAGCCUUGAAAAGAUAAGUAUAGAUCCUUGUUAUCUGUACC
RNAcentral lists this long non-coding RNA (674 nucleotides) under Phoenix dactylifera (date palm). RNAcentral's name for it is "long non-coding RNA (PDAC_LNC000776)". Lineage: Eukaryota; Viridiplantae; Streptophyta; Magnoliopsida; Arecales; Arecaceae. The record is from RNAcentral.